RNAcentral lists this non-coding RNA (28 nucleotides) under Rattus norvegicus (Norway rat). Lineage: Eukaryota; Metazoa; Chordata; Mammalia; Rodentia; Muridae. The record is from RNAcentral.
UGGUUUUGAAUCCCACCAAGUUGAUAGC